Molecule: long non-coding RNA, 1333 nt
Filed under: Homo sapiens (human)
Lineage: Eukaryota; Metazoa; Chordata; Mammalia; Primates; Hominidae
Description: HSALNT0305163
Source: RNAcentral
AUUCCCUUUUUUGUCAUAAGAACAUAAACGUACCAAGCGUCACGUUCCCUGAUUGGGAUCUAAAUUCUGUGGGUCUGACUUGCGACUUACAACAGGGGGCUUUAUUUUUAACUCAUGUGACAAGCACAUGUUACAGGUGGUGGUAGUAAGGAGGGAUUCUGCCUAUUCAGCAUCAGUGGCAGAAAUGGACGUGGAAGAAGUGACGUUCUGUAGAGGCUGGAGAUCCUCAGACUCUUCAUAAGAAUAACCCACAGGCUGCCUAGAAAUUCAGCUUUCUAGGCUCAGCUCCACAAUUUUGCAAUUUUGUAUUAGCCAGUAAGGGGUAGAGUCCCAGAAAUCUUCAUUUUUAACUAGCAUUUCAGCUGAUCCUGAUAUAAGUGGUUAAGAUAAUUUGAGAGCCUCUGGUUUCCUGACAGUACAUUUUUAACAUAGUAAGCAUGCAAAUAUAUAAUGUCAGCAGCAUCCUCUGAGUUGAUGUAAAGGGGCAGGCCAUGGAGAUAAUCUUGGAUUUGGGUCAGGCUACUCUUGGGAAUAUCGGAUAAAACAUUUGUUGAUAUUCCUCUCAGCUUGCCUAAGAAUCAUUCAAAGCCAUUGAUUAAGCUCUCACUGUUGCCCAACAUUGAAUUCAGGGCUUGGGAGGGCAUGAAGGAAUGAGGAGUAGUGUGUGAACCUGAGAAGGCUAGGAAGUCAAACCUUACACAUAGCCCCUGGCACAGAAGCUAAGCCUUAAGCCUGUCCUUGCUUCUCCCAGUUUACUUGCCACAGACUGGGACUCCAGCUGGGCUUCACCUUCCUCUGGAAGACAUUCCAAGGGCUGACCCUCUCCCUUGGGUUCCUAGUUAGCAUUAAAACCACAGAGCAAGAUGAAGAAGAUUUGAGAGAGCUUGGCUAAGGCUGGCUUUCUCAUCUUCCUUAGGAGCACCAAAUCUUGGACCCCAUUCAAUUCUGUAUGCCCCCUGCCCAGUUCUGCACUUGAACAUUGCAGGUGGUCAGUAACAUUUGAUGAAAGAAUGAAUGAAUGAAUUGCUGGCUACACAGCCAUGUCAGAGUUUCUCAUGGAGGCAGCAUAGCAUGAUGGUCAGGAGUGCACAUUCACGAAUCAGUCAGCCUGUGCUUUACCCCCUCCUCUUCCAUUUGUUUACAGUGACUUUGGGCACAGAUUCUUUGCAGAUCUUCCCCUUCAGAGGAAGAAUCCAUUUCUCUACCCACGUCUCCAUAAAUCAGGGCUGGCCUUGGGACUUGCUUAGACCAACAGGCUAUGCUAGGAGUGAAUAACAUGAGGCAGGUUAUGACAAAGUGCUUCUGACAUUGGCUGGGAGCCCCAGUAUCCCAU